This 253-nucleotide ribosomal RNA is filed under the name uncultured bacterium. Its description in RNAcentral is "partial 16S ribosomal RNA". It matches the Rfam family "Bacterial small subunit ribosomal RNA", at positions 524 to 776 of the family's 1533-position model. The record is from RNAcentral.
CACGUAGGUGACAAGCGUUAUCCGGAAUUACUGGGCGUAAAGCGCACGCAGGCGGCUGCGUAAGUCUGACGUGAAAUCUCCCGGCUUAACCGGGAGCGGUCGUUGGAAACUAUGCGGCUUGAGGCGAUGAGAGGGGUGUGGAAUUCCCGGUGUAGUGGUGGAAUGCGUAGAUAUCGGGAGGAACAUCAGUGGCGAAAGCGGCACCCUGGCAUUAGCCUGACGCUCAGGCACGAAAGCGUGGGGAGCAAAAGGG